RNAcentral lists this ribosomal RNA (245 nucleotides) under uncultured bacterium. RNAcentral describes it as "partial 16S ribosomal RNA". It matches the Rfam family "Bacterial small subunit ribosomal RNA", at positions 532 to 776 of the family's 1533-position model. The record is from RNAcentral.
GCGCGAGCGUUGUCCGGAAUUAUUGGGCGUAAAGAGCUUGUAGGCGGUCUGUCGCGUCUGCUGUGAAAAUCCGGGGCUCAACCCCGGACUUGCAGUGGGUACGGGCAGACUAGAGUGUGGUAGGGGAGACUGGAAUUCCUGGUGUAGCGGUGAAAUGCGCAGAUAUCAGGAGGAACACCGGUGGCGAAGGCGGUUCUCUGGGCCUUACCUGACGCUGAGGAGCGAAAGCGUGGGGAGCGAACAGG